GACGUAGGGCGCGAGCGUUGUCCGGAUUUAUUGGGCGUAAAGAGCGCGUAGGCGGCCGAGUAAGUCCGACGUGAAAUCUGGAGGCUCAACCUCCAGCGGUCGUUGGAAACUACUCGGCUAGAGUCCGGAAGAGGAGAGUGGAAUUCCUGGUGUAGCGGUGAAAUGCGCAGAUAUCAGGAAGAACACCGAUGGCGAAAGCAGCUCUCUGGGACGGUACUGACGCUGAGGCGCGAAAGCGUGGGGAGCGAACAGG
This 253-nucleotide ribosomal RNA is filed under the name uncultured bacterium. Its description in RNAcentral is "partial 16S ribosomal RNA". It matches the Rfam family "Bacterial small subunit ribosomal RNA", at positions 524 to 776 of the family's 1533-position model. The record is from RNAcentral.